CCUACGGGUGUCAGCAGUGGGGAAUAUUGGGCAAUGGGCGCAAGCCUGACCCAGCAACGCCGCGUGAAGGAAGAAGGCCCUCGGGUUGUAAACUUCUUUUAUCAAGGACGAAACAAAUGACGGUACCUGAUGAAUAAGCCACGGCUAACUACGUGCCAGCAGCCGCGGUAAUACGUAGGGGGCAGGCGUUAUCCGGAUUUACUGGGUGUAAAGGGAGUGUAGGCGGGACUGCAAGUCAGAUGUGAAAACCAUGGGCUCAACCCGUGGACUGCAUUUGAAACUGUAGUUCUUGAGUGUUGGAGAGGCAAGCGGAAUUCCGGGUGUAGCGGUGAAAUGCGUAGAUAUACGGAGGAACACCAGUGGCGAAGGCGGCUUGCUGGACAGUAACUGACGCUGAGGCGCGAAAGCGUGGGGAGCAAACAGGAUUAGAUACCCGGGUAGUC
This 443-nucleotide ribosomal RNA is filed under the name uncultured bacterium. RNAcentral describes it as "partial 16S ribosomal RNA". It matches the Rfam family "Bacterial small subunit ribosomal RNA", at positions 338 to 795 of the family's 1533-position model. The record is from RNAcentral.